AUGGAUAUCAGACCAAAUUGCUUAAUUUAUAUCAACAAUAUGAAUGACAAAAUUAAAGAAGAAGGAUUGAAGAGAUUCCCACACGCUCUGUUUUCUCAGUUUGGCCAUGUGGUAAGUAUUGUGGCUCUAAAGACCAUGAAGAUGGGUGCGGGACACUGGGCUCAUCCACAAAUGCCUUGAGACAGUUACAAGGAUUUCCAUUGUAUGAUAAACCAAUGCAAAUCCAGUAGGCAAAAACAGAUUCUGAUAUAAUUUCUAAGAUGUGUGACACUUUUUCUGACAAAAGAAAAGAAAAAAGCCCAAACUGUGGAACAGAUAGCAACAACCGCAAACAGAAAGCCUGGUCAGGAAACACUGAAUUCAGCUGAUACCCAAAUCCUCAGGUUCUUACUACCCUCCGAAUUCUGUUUUAUUUUUAAGUUAAUUUACCAGCAGAGACUCGUGAGAUGAUGUUAUCUGUGCUAUUUAAUCGGUUCCCUGGUUUCAAGAAAGUACGUUUUGUACCUGGGAAGCAUGGUAUUGCUCUGGUUGAAUUUGAAAAUGGUAAGUAGGCUGGAGCUCUCAGGGCAGCUUUACAAGGAUUUAAGGUCACUUUGUCCCACGCCAUGAAAAUCACCUGUGUCAAGAAGUAA
RNAcentral lists this long non-coding RNA (632 nucleotides) under Homo sapiens (human). RNAcentral's name for it is "non-protein coding lnc-MIER3-4:1". The record is from RNAcentral. Lineage: Eukaryota; Metazoa; Chordata; Mammalia; Primates; Hominidae.